This 450-nucleotide ribosomal RNA is filed under the name uncultured bacterium. RNAcentral describes it as "bacterial SSU rRNA". It matches the Rfam family "Bacterial small subunit ribosomal RNA", at positions 340 to 786 of the family's 1533-position model. The record is from RNAcentral.
UACGGGAGGCAGCAGUGGGGAAUAUUGCACAAUGGGCGCAAGCCUGAUGCAGCCAUGCCGCGUGUAUGAAGAAGGCCUUCGGGUUGUAAAGUACUUUCAGUCGUGAGGAAGGUGUUAAGGUUAAUAACCUUAGCAAUUGACGUUAGCGACAGAAGAAGCACCGGCUAACUCCGUGCCAGCAGCCGCGGUAAUACGGAGGGUGCGAGCGUUAAUCGGAAUUACUGGGCGUAAGGGCACGCAGGCGGUUAAUUAAGUUGGAUGUGAAUCCCCGGGCUUAACCUGGGAAUGGCAUUCAAGACUGGUUAGCUAGAGUCUUGUAGAGGGGGUAGAAUUCCAUGUGUAGCGGUGAAAUGCGUAGAGAUGUGGAGGAAUACCGGUGGCGAAGGCGGCCCCUGGACAAGACUGACGCUCAUGUGCGAAAGCGUGGGGAGCAAACGAGGAUUAGAUACC